RNAcentral lists this long non-coding RNA (1225 nucleotides) under Phascolarctos cinereus (koala). RNAcentral's name for it is "lncRNA (ENSPCIG00000032118.1)". Lineage: Eukaryota; Metazoa; Chordata; Mammalia; Diprotodontia; Phascolarctidae. The record is from RNAcentral.
UUCUCAGAAUUUGUUGUAUGAGUAAGCCUUCUUAAUAUAACUCUCUCUCUCUCUCUCUCUCUCUCUCUCUCUCUCUCUCUCUCUCUCUCUCUCUCUCUCUCUCUCUCUCCUUUGCUUAUUAAGUUCUUUUGAAUGAGGUAUGUCCUGCCAGAGUUCCCAUGCCUGGAAUAGCCUUGGUCUCAUUCUACCAAGUCAAGGUAGUGCUUAUGAGUUCAAAUUUGCAUUUUCCUGUUAGGAUUUCUGGUCUAUGCUGCUAUUGUUUAAACUUUGUGCACUGUGCUUAAAUGUUGGAGACCAUGAAUUUUUACUGCUGGUUUCCUUCUGUGAUAUUUCUUGCCUUAGUGUUUCUGGGUGUCUCAAUAACUAUUUGUCCCACAGUGUCAUUUUUCUCUAUAUUAUCUAGGUUGGUGCAUAUCCAUUGAUGGUUUUCUACCUCCCCAAUCCAAUGAUCUCUGCUGGAAGCUUUCCAGCUUAUCAAUAUCUUUCCUAAAAUGGGACAUCAAGAAGUUCCCACUAUACUCUGGCUGUAGCUUAUGUUGUUCAUUCUUAGUUUUUCAAAGAGUUUUCAAUAACAUCAUGGGGUGAUGUCUUGACUUGAGCAUGAAUAGGAUUUAAGUGAGGCAUUGCUGCACAGUCAUCAACCUCAUUUUCUCUUCCAGAGUCAUGCAAGUCGAGUGGCAGGACAAAAGUCAAGAUGACUGGGAUGCAAUGGAUGGCCUUGGUGUCUUUGGUGUCUGACCAAGCUCUAAGCCCUCCAUUAGAACACGCUGUUCUCAUCUGCCCAUUCUGAUGAGGGAAAUCUUCACAUGCUUGGCAUAUACUUCCCUCCAAUUCACUAAUAAGUUGGAAGCCUAUUGGCUUCCUUCAACCUGGCUUAGCCCAUCUACUGAAAUGGUUUUAGCCAAGUGUGGCCACUGUGCAUGCUACAGCUUCUUGGAGCCACAGGAAUUUGUUAUGGACUGAAGUGUGUAUACACCAAGCUACAUAUGGCUCCAUGGAUCAGAGAUCUCCACAGAGCCAGCUUAUCUGCUACGUGGGGCUUGUAAUGUCCUUCCUGCCUGCUGCCUUCUGUAGCACACAAGGAACCAGAGACACGAAGAGGAAGACUAGUCUGAAAUGAGACAGGUUUCAUUGAUCUGUAGAGCAAACAAGAGACUGGGACCACUCAGAAGACACAGAACAGCAUGUCCAUCCAGGCCCUCCCUAGAAGCGUCCCUUCCUCAUG